GCCCUGUUAGCUCAAUGGCUUAGAGCUACUGCCUUGUAAGCAGAAGAUGUGGGUUCGAUUCCUACACGGGGCU
This 73-nucleotide transfer RNA is filed under the name Actinomadura sp. WMMB 499. RNAcentral describes it as "tRNA-Thr". It matches the Rfam family "tRNA". Rfam says of the family: Transfer RNA (tRNA) molecules are approximately 80 nucleotides in length. The record is from RNAcentral. RNAcentral also lists the same sequence under 1 other name. Lineage: Bacteria; Bacillati; Actinomycetota; Actinomycetes; Streptosporangiales; Thermomonosporaceae.